Molecule: ribosomal RNA, 475 nt
Filed under: uncultured Alphaproteobacteria bacterium
Lineage: Bacteria; Pseudomonadati; Pseudomonadota; Alphaproteobacteria
Description: bacterial SSU rRNA
Rfam family: Bacterial small subunit ribosomal RNA
Source: RNAcentral
GAGUUUGAUCGUGGCUCAGAACGAACGCUGGCGGCAUGCCUAACACAUGCAAGUCGAACGGGAUCCAGCCUUCGGGUUGGUGAGAGUGGCGGACGGGUGAGUAACGCGUGGGAACCUGCCCAGUGGUGGGGGAUAACUGCGGGAAACUGCAGCUAAUACCGCAUGAGCCCGAGAGGGGAAAGAUUUAUCGCCAUUGGAGGGGCCCGCGUUCGAUUAGGUAGUUGGUGAGGUAACGGCUCACCAAGCCGACGAUCGAUAGCUGGUCUGAGAGGAUGAUCAGCCACACUGGGACUGAGAUACGGCCCAGACUCCUACGGGAGGCAGCAGUGGGGAAUAUUGGACAAUGGGGGCAACCCUGAUCCAGCAAUGCCGCGUGAGUGAUGAAGGCCUUCGGUUGUAAGCUCUUUGCCAGGACGAUGAUGACGGUACCUGGAGAAUAAGACCCCGGCUAACUUCGUGCCAGCAGCAGCCGCCG